This is an RNA transcript of Xiphophorus couchianus (Monterrey platyfish), 3469 nucleotides long. It is a transcript of the gene named sterol O-acyltransferase 2, with no coding region annotated. NCBI's taxonomy places the organism in Eukaryota, Metazoa, Chordata, Actinopteri, Cyprinodontiformes, Poeciliidae. The record is from RefSeq and is a predicted model, not a curated record. The transcript is spliced from 17 exons.
ACCUGGCCUUUGCAGGGCUGGGUUCCAAAAGGCCAAAGUUCAUAAAAUCAGGAGCGAAGUAAAGACAACAGGAAUCACAACAGCUGGGAGAGGCAUACUUAAUCGUUCGCCAGGAACAUUGUCUCAGUGAGAAACACUCUUUGGAGCAGGGCAAGCCGUUCAUCUUGCUGGCUGCUGGCUGAGAUCGUUUUUAUCAUGACUUCUUCGGAAGCUUCCAAUGGAAAGUGGCAUCGGAAAACCAAGACUCGUCAGCAAGAGUCCAAGUCCGAUCAAGCCAAGAGUCAUGAAAAUAUGCAGGAAGACCUGGUUGAGUGGGAAAAAUACAUGAAGAAAGUAAAAGGGAAAGUUUUAGAGCAGGUCCAGGAUCAUCUCAGAGAUAUUCUUGACAAAGCUCUGACUGAGUCUAUCGAGCCUCCUGCCCAUCUUAAAUCUGCACUGAAUGGGAAAACGACAACAAAAGAGUCAUCCAGAUCUCAAAGGAAGGAUGAUGGCAAAGUGUUUUUGGAGCGAGCAUCUCUGUUGGAUGACCUGUUUGAGAUCAGCCACAUUAGGACCAUCUACCACAUGUUUAUUGCUGUGCUCCUCAUCUUCUGUUUGAGCACUUUGGCUGUUGACUACAUUGACCAGGGCAGGUUGGUUUUGGAGUUUGACCUGCUGUUCUACGCCUUUGGGAAACUCGGGACGGUCACCUGGGCUUGGCUUGCCAUGUUCAUUUACACCCUUGUUGUUCCUUACUUCAUCCUGGAGUUUUGGGGCUCUUUGUACCACAAAUUCCCCUCCAAGUUGGGGCUCACUCUGGGUGCAGGGUUGAUCUUUACUACCAUACAGACCUGCGUGCUUGGACUGUUCCCAAUCUACACAGUUGUGCAUCACCAGCUGCCUCCAGCGUCUCGAUUUAUUGUGAUUCUGGAGCAGAUUCGAUUCUUGAUGAAGACCUACUCGUUCAUUAGAGAAACGGCCCCUGUUAUCCUGAAGAAUACACCAAAGGAAGGAGAAAAUCCCAGGUUUCCAACAUUUUCCAGCUACUUGUACUUCCUUUUCUGUCCAACUCUCAUCUACAGGGAAUUUUAUCCUCGAAAUAGACAAAUACGUUGGAAAUAUGUUGCUGUUACUCUUGGCAAGAUUUUUGGAUGCCUAUUUUAUGGGUAUUUCAUCCUGGUGCGACUUUGUAUACCUGUCUUCAGACCGGAGACCAAUCAGCCUUUUAGCAAAAGAACAAUGGUUCUGGCUGUAUUUCACUCCAUAUUACCAGGAAUAAUGCUCCUCCUGCUGUGUUUCUUUGCCUUUUUGCACUGCUGGCUCAACCUCUUUGGGGAGCUGCUGCGUUUUGCUGACAGGAUGUUCUACAAGGACUGGUGGAACUCUACAUCCUUUGCAAACUAUUAUCGUACGUGGAACGUAGUGGUUCACGACUGGUUGUACUACUACGGAUACAGAGACUUCCUCUGGCUGUCCAACAGGAGAUUCAGAGCAGCAGCCAUGCUGUCCGUGUUCAUUGUCUCUGCAGUGGUCCAUGAAUAUGCUUUGGCCAUGGGCUUUGGCUUCUUCUAUCCUGUCAUGUUCUGUCUCUUUGCAGUUUUUGGAGUGGCUUUCAACUUUACCAUGACCGAUAAGCGACAGAGCCCCGUGUUCAACGUCAUCAUGUGGGCAUGUCUCUUCCUGGGUCAGGGUGUCCAGGUGUGUCUGUACUGCCAGGAGUGGUAUGCCCAGAUACACUGCCCACCAGCAGGGGACAUAAAAGAAAGAUAGUGUUGCUGUAGACAUGCAGAGAAUCCUUUAACAUCAUUUGGAGCAAAACAUUUUCAGUCUACACACAAAUCAAUGGAAGAAUGGCAGAUGUGGGAACAAUUCAUGAGGAUUUAAUCAUUAGAAAACCAAGCCCUCAUACCUGGCAUUACAUAUGACUUGGAGGAUUGUCUCUACAGAUGGGUUAACAUGAACUUAAAAUUCUGAUGUUCACCACAAAUGUCUUCGUCUAAAAAUUUGUUACAUGCUUGUUACAUGGAUAGUUUGUGGGAGCUGGUGAUGCCUCGAUCCUGGUCCUGCAGAUACCACAAAUGAAGUCAUAUUUCUCCCUAAUCUGGAUUCAACAUGAAUGAAAAUGGAAAAAUUUAUAAUGGACUGAAAAGAAGGAAAAGCAAGCAAGGAAGAAGAAAACUUGAAACGUGCAAUUUAAAUUUUGUACAGACAGCCUUAAAAACAUUUUGUUACUUAGUCAUUUUAAGAUGUUCUUUUCAAUGAACUGUUUUCUUUGAUCACAAAGAGACAGAACAACAUUACACCAGAAAACUGGUGACCACUUAUCAUUAAAAGUAUGUGUUGCUGUUUUGAAGUGGCCCAUGUAAUUAUAUUACUUUAUGUAAUGUUAGACUGGUCACAUAAACAAUAAUUUACAGAAGGGGAUAAGUACUGUAUUUCCGGAUAGUACUAGCUGUCUAAAUGUCGUAUCCCUUUAAACUUUAAUUUUUGAAAUUUACAUGUCUUGAGCCUUGCAAGACAAUUUCCCUUUUAAUGGCUUAUUGUUUUUACUGUUUUUAUAUUAAAAACAUUAUUGUUUCUUUGCUCGACUUUCUGUUUCGGCUCUAUACAAAAGUCAUUUCGGCUUUGAAGCAUCUUUAAACUGGCUUUGAACCUGAUGGCGCCUCUGGCCAGCAGAGCGCAUUACAAGUUUAGUUCUGACAUGUUUGACAUUUCCCUGGCAAGGAUUGGUUGAUGGAGCGGCUGUGUAAACCAGCCAACCAACCACAUUCUGCGGUGUCUUAUCAGCAUGCCACAAAGCCUCUGUUUGCCUGCCCGCCUGCAGCAUCAUGCAGGAAGGAGAGGAUUAACUUUGGUACAGUGUUUGCAUUAGUGAUGUAAUGCUCUGUAAACUGAUGGGGCACAAUAAAAGAGUUCAGCGAGGUAGACGCUGGGCAGCUUUUAGGGAAGUGUAGAAGAUUCAGAAGAUUUGUGUUUAUGAUUAUUAACAAAAGUUUGUGAUAACUCUGGUAGUGUGACAUUUUUUAAAUCUGCAAUGAGAUUUUAUCCGACUCUCUAUAAAAGUUGUUGCACAUUUGGUUUCUGUCAUGGAUGCAGUUGUCAGACAAUGAAUCACUGGCACUAUAAAGGUCACAAAAAGAAAAUUGAAUCUAAACAAAUCCUGCAGCAGAUUCUGAGUUCAUUUUCUUGGGAACAUUUGACCACAUGGGGGCAGAGCAUAUGAGAGAACCUAACAUGUUCAGAUUUAUUUAUUAAGUCUCUUUCAUAGGGACAGACACAAUAACAUAGACAAACCGAAUAGAACGGCAGUCCCAUGCCUGUAUCAUGUUGCCUAUAGUAUAUGCAGCACUUGUCACUUAUAUUGACAGAAGACCUUUGAAACUUUAACUGUACUCUCUCUCUUUCUAUCUUUUUACUAUAUUUACUAAAUCUAAAAUAACUGAGCUUUGGAGCAAUACUUGUAUCCUAUCUUCUAAUUUUGAUGUAUUUU